Long non-coding RNA from Alligator mississippiensis (American alligator), 1453 nucleotides. RefSeq lists it as uncharacterized. The record is from RefSeq and is a predicted model, not a curated record. The transcript is spliced from 8 exons. Lineage: Eukaryota; Metazoa; Chordata; Crocodylia; Alligatoridae.
CCGGGGGCUAACGCCAGCAGUCAAGGUCUGCGCAGGGGUCGGCGCUGCACAAGCAGUGUUGUCAUUCCCCAGGACAGCAGCCCGCGAGACCGCAGGAGAAGCCUGAGCUCCUCUUCACGAUCACCCCCUGCUCUCCCUGCACCCCCAGCGCUGCAGGAUGAGGCCCUGGCUGCUAUGGGGGCUGGCGGCUGCAUUGGUCUUCGUGGUGGUGGCUGACACCGAUCGGAGGGAUGCCCCGGUGACGCCUGGUGAAGUCAAGGAGGAGGGUCAACGUUCACAGCUGGGCCUCAGCAGCACGGAAAAACACAAACCCAGAAGGCCCUGUUCUGGCUGCUUUUCUAUUCUGAGACCGGAUUCAGAGGCCACGGUCCGAAAGAGGAGGACACUCUACACAGCUGAAUCCACUAAUAGGACAAGCAGCCGUGGCCGCUUUACCCCUUUCAUUCAGAAGGCUACUAAGCCCCUCAACACACAGCAGGAGGAGGAACUACAUCGACAGAGGAGGGAACUCGAUGAGAGUCGGAAACCCAAACCCACCAGAAAGCCAUUCAGGCCCGGCUCCACGCACAUGUUCAGCUUGAAACCUGCCGACUGCCUCCAGGAGGAACUACAUAGACAGAGGAGGGAACUCGAUGAGAGUCGGAAACCCAAACCCACCAGAAAGCCAUUCAGGCCCGGCUCCACGCACAUGUUCAGCUUGAAACCUGCCGACCGCCUCCAGAAGCGCAACCUCCCGUUGAAAGUCAGGAGGGAGGUGACGAGGGCAAAGCCAACUGGUCUCGGAUCCCAUGUCCCCUGCUCCGGCUGCUACGGCCCCCUGAGCACCCCCAAGGACCAGCGCCAGAGGAGAGAUGUGCAGAUGUCUCAGCGACCCAGACCCACGAGAAAGCCCGAAUCCUCCGUGAGAGGCUCGGCAGAGACCUCUGCAGAGGGGCUGCUGAGCGCCAGGGCCAGGAAGGAGGACCGGCGGCCCGCAGCGGGGAAGCGCAAGGCCAAGGCGCGGGAGAAAAUGGCAAGCUACUGCGCCGGCUGCUACUCCAACCUCAUGCUGCGAAGCCCCCCGGCUGCCCCCGACGGGAAGGAGGGCAAGGGGUCGAGCAAACAUUAAUCGCUGCCCUUCCUGCCUUGCCACCGGGGCCUCUGUGUCUCCCACGGGGCAGCUAGGGAGCAGCCCAAACAGGAGCCUUCCCCUACCCGCUGAGCUUCGGGGCUCAGUUAAAAAGGAAACCAGAUUCCCCUCCAGACGUGCCCUGGUUUCCUGGCAUGAGAUGGAGCAGAAGCAAAUAUCUUUGUCUGAGUCCUGCCAGCCUCCCCACUGCCUUGUUCCUCACGGCAGCAGGCAGGAGGGCGCAGCCGUGCCGGGGCCCGGGGACCAGACUUGCUGCUGUCUGGUGCUCAAGGCUAAUCUGCUGCGCUUUGCAAAGCCACAUCAAUAAAAUCAGGUUGAGAAAGA